GGAGGAAAGCAGGGGAUCGUAAGACCUUGCGCUUUUGGAGCGGCCGAUGCCUGAUUAGCUAGUUGGUGGGGUAAUGGCCUACCAAAGCUUCGAUCAGUAGCUGGUCUGAGAGGACGGCCAGCCACACUGGGACUGAGACACGGCCCAGACUCCUACGGGAGGCAGCAGUGGGGAAUUUUGGACAAUGGGCGCAAGCCUGAUCCAGCCAUGCCGCGUGAGUGAAGAAGGCCUUCGGGUUGUAAAGCUCUUUCAGUCGAGAAGAAAAGGCUGUGGUAAAUAAUCGCAGCUCAUGACGGUAUCGACAGAAGAAGCACCGGCUAACUACGUGCCAGCAGCCGCGGUAAUACGUAGGGUGUAAGCGUUAAUCGGAAUUACUGGGCGUAAAGGGUGCGCAGGCGGUUUUGUAAGUCAGAUGUGAAAUCCCCGGGCUUAACCUGGGAAUUGCGUUUGAAACUACAAAGCUAG
RNAcentral lists this ribosomal RNA (465 nucleotides) under uncultured bacterium. Its description in RNAcentral is "bacterial SSU rRNA". It matches the Rfam family "Bacterial small subunit ribosomal RNA", at positions 198 to 644 of the family's 1533-position model. The record is from RNAcentral.